UGAAGCCUUGGAGGUGAAUGUCUGGC
RNAcentral lists this non-coding RNA (26 nucleotides) under Homo sapiens (human). Lineage: Eukaryota; Metazoa; Chordata; Mammalia; Primates; Hominidae. The record is from RNAcentral.